UCCACUCGAAACUCAUGUUUCAUUUUCUUUGCCCUUUCCUAUGUACAUUUGAACGACCUAUCGUAUUUCUAUAUUUCCUAAUUCUUUAUUUUUCACUUGAAUUCCUUUGCUAUUCAUAUGAUUUUCCUAUCCUGCAUCCGAAGAGGCCCGAAGUCGGUGAACACGAGCCGACGGCCAUUGCUUGAACUGGGCUGCUAGCCGUGCUACAUGCCUACAGGCUACAUCUGCACGCCUAACAGCAGAUACAAUAGCAGGUUAUAAGCCAGCUAUAAGUAUAUUUUAAAGAAAUAAAAUGUGAGAGAGAAAGGAUGUGGGCUACUAAUUUGUAGCCAGCUAGCUGUACACGGACUCCAAAACAAAAUAUGUAUAUAACAUGUGAGACUAUGUAUUGAUAUUUUAUAGAUAAUUACUGUAUAAAUUAGCUAUUAAAUUAAUUAAUAAUAAAUUGAAGCAUUU
Molecule: long non-coding RNA, 456 nt
Filed under: Oryza brachyantha (malo sina)
Lineage: Eukaryota; Viridiplantae; Streptophyta; Magnoliopsida; Poales; Poaceae
Description: long non-coding RNA (OBRA_LNC000575)
Source: RNAcentral